GGAUGUGAGGGCAAUCUGGCUGCGACAUGUCACCCCAUUGAUCGCCAGGGUUGAUUCAGCUGAUCUGGCUGGCUAGGCGGGUGUCCCCUUCCUCCCUCACUGCUCCAUGUGCGUCCCUCCGGAAGCUGUGCGCUCGGACAACCAUCCCCGAUAGAGGAGGACCGUUCUUCUGUCAAGGGUGUAGGAGUAGCUGUGCUCCCCUGCUAGAACCUCCAAACGUGCUCUUAAGAUCAAGUAGGGUAUAUUUUGAACUACAUAGAAACAAUUCAACAUUAAAAAAAAAAACUUACUCAUGUAAUUUGAUAUUU
RNAcentral lists this small nuclear RNA (308 nucleotides) under Castor canadensis (American beaver). RNAcentral describes it as "7SK RNA (ENSCCNG00000028937.1)". It matches the Rfam family "7SK RNA". Rfam says of the family: 7SK was discovered as an abundant small nuclear RNA in the mid-70s but a possible function has only recently been suggested. Lineage: Eukaryota; Metazoa; Chordata; Mammalia; Rodentia; Castoridae. The record is from Rfam by way of RNAcentral.